RNAcentral lists this ribosomal RNA (291 nucleotides) under uncultured bacterium. RNAcentral's name for it is "partial 16S ribosomal RNA". It matches the Rfam family "Bacterial small subunit ribosomal RNA", at positions 333 to 641 of the family's 1533-position model. The record is from RNAcentral.
UGUAUCCUACGGGACGCAGCAGUGGGGAAUAUUGCACAAUGGGGGGAACCCUGAUGCAGCGACGCCGCGUGAGUGAAGAAGUAUUUCGGUAUGUAAAGCUCUAUCAGCAGGGAAGAAAAUGACGGUACCUGACUAAGAAGCCCCGGCUAACUACGUGCCAGCAGCCGCGGCAAUACGUAGGGGGCAAGCGUUAUCCGGAUUUACUGGGUGUAAAGGGAGCGUAGACGGCAGAGCAAGUCUGAAGUGAAAGCCCGCGGCCCAACUGCGGGACUCCUCUGGAAACUGCCCGGC